This 260-nucleotide long non-coding RNA is filed under the name Ricinus communis (castor bean). Its description in RNAcentral is "long non-coding RNA (RCOM_LNC002494)". Lineage: Eukaryota; Viridiplantae; Streptophyta; Magnoliopsida; Malpighiales; Euphorbiaceae. The record is from RNAcentral.
CCGCUAGGAGUCUGCUGACGGUGUAUCCUCACUGGUUGGAUCUACUGGAAGUUGGGGGGCAGGGAAGUUUGCUGACGGUGGUUGCGGUGGUGGAUCAGGGUCUGUGAAGCAUGUCGCCAAAUCGAACUCCAUAUCAUCAAUGAGCCGUUGAUUUUGUGCUCCAGCCUCUUGCAUCUUUUGAAUCUGCACUACUAUGAAGUCUGUCUGGGUGGCCUGUCUUUCUAAACCACUCAGGAACUGUUGAAGUGUACUGUUCAAAC